UCCCGUUUAGCUCAGUUGGUAGAGCGCGUCACUAGUAACCCGCAGAGGGUACGACAUGACGAGGUCAGUCGUUCGAGUCGGCUAAUGGGAA
Lentinus tigrinus ALCF2SS1-7 is the source of this 91-nucleotide non-coding RNA. The record is from the annotation of a GenBank genome assembly. NCBI's taxonomy places the organism in Eukaryota, Fungi, Basidiomycota, Agaricomycetes, Polyporales, Polyporaceae.